CGUGUGGUGUCUGGCGGAACAAGGCUGGAUAGCGACGCGGCCUUAAACAGAGGU
This 54-nucleotide non-coding RNA is filed under the name Dickeya poaceiphila. Its description in RNAcentral is "L31-Gammaproteobacteria ribosomal protein leader". It matches the Rfam family "L31-Gammaproteobacteria ribosomal protein leader". Lineage: Bacteria; Pseudomonadati; Pseudomonadota; Gammaproteobacteria; Enterobacterales; Pectobacteriaceae. The record is from RNAcentral.